This 707-nucleotide ribosomal RNA is filed under the name Ophiopogon japonicus. RNAcentral's name for it is "eukaryotic LSU rRNA". The stretch from base 272 to 427 matches the Rfam family "5.8S ribosomal RNA". The record is from RNAcentral. Lineage: Eukaryota; Viridiplantae; Streptophyta; Magnoliopsida; Asparagales; Asparagaceae.
UCCGUAGGUGAACCUGCGGAAGGAUCAUUGUCGAGACCCAAAAGGACGAUCGUAAACCCGUAAAUGCUCCCUCAGGGGCGGAGGGAGGGCUGAUAUUCCGACUUGCCUGACCCACACCUUGGGGAAUAAUGGCCAUCCCCGCCUCGCAUCGCUGCGGGACGGGCAGCGGUAACAAAACCGGUGCGGUGGGUACCAAGGAACAGUGUUGUCGGAGUGCGCCAUAUGCCGACCUCAGUGCGUAGCACGGUCCUUCCAUACGUCAAACUUUUACAACUCUCGGUAAUGGAUAUCUUGGCUCUCGCAUCGAUAAAUAACGUAGCGAAAUGCGAUACUUGGUAUGAAUUACAGAAUCUUGUAAACCGUCGAGUUUUUGUACGCAAGUUGCGCCUGAGGCUAUCUGACCGAGGACAUGCUUGCCUGGGCGUCACGCCUCGCGUCACUCUGCGCACCAUGUCCCCCACCCUGGGGAGGCAGCAGGCAUGGUUACAGAGAUUGGCCCCCUGUGCCUGAUAGUGCGGCAGUUCAAAGUGUGUGCCGCUGAUCGAGACGGACGCGACGAGUGGUGGACGACACGUGCGGCGCUUAACAUUGUCUCUGCCUCCCAACCCCGGCGGCACAUGCAAGGAACCCACACCGAGCACCCCUUAGAACACAUCCCCAGGUCAGGUAGGGCCAUCUGCUGAGCUUAAGCAUAUCAAUAAGCGGAG